RNAcentral lists this ribosomal RNA (166 nucleotides) under uncultured bacterium. RNAcentral's name for it is "partial 16S rRNA". It matches the Rfam family "Bacterial small subunit ribosomal RNA", at positions 354 to 511 of the family's 1533-position model. The record is from RNAcentral.
GUAGGGAAUCUUCGGCAAUGGACGAAAGUCUGACCGAGCAACGCCGCGUGAGUGAAGAAGGUUUUCGGAUCGUAAAACUCUGUUGGUAGAGAAGAACGUUGGUGAGAGUGGAAAGCUCAUCAAGUGACGGUAACUACCCAGAAAGGGACGGCUAACUACGUGCCAG